CCUACGGGGGGCUGCAGUGGGGAAUAUUGGACAAUGGGCGAAAGCCUGAUCCAGCCAUGCCGCGUGUGUGAAGAAGGCCUUCGGGUUGUAAAGCACUUUCAGUGGGGAAGAAAGCCUUGGGGCUAAUACCCUCGAGGAAGGACAUCACCCACAGAAGAAGCACCGGCUAACUCCGUGCCAGCAGCCGCGGUAAUACGGAGGGUGCGAGCGUUAAUCGGAAUUACUGGGCGUAAGGCGCGCGUAGGCGGUCUGAUAAGCCGGUUGUGAAAGCCCCGGGCUCAACCUGGGAACGGCAUCCGGAACUGUCAGGCUAGAGUGCAGGAGAGGAAGGUAGAAUUCCCGGUGUAGCGGUGAAAUGCGUAGAGAUCGGGAGGAAUACCAGUGGCGAAGGCGGCCUUCUGGACUGACACUGACGCUGAGGUGCGAAAGCGUGGGUAGCAAACAGGAUUAGAUACCCUGGUAGUC
Molecule: ribosomal RNA, 465 nt
Filed under: Vreelandella stevensii
Lineage: Bacteria; Pseudomonadati; Pseudomonadota; Gammaproteobacteria; Oceanospirillales; Halomonadaceae
Description: partial 16S ribosomal RNA
Rfam family: Bacterial small subunit ribosomal RNA
Source: RNAcentral